This 927-nucleotide ribosomal RNA is filed under the name uncultured archaeon. RNAcentral describes it as "bacterial SSU rRNA". It matches the Rfam family "Archaeal small subunit ribosomal RNA", at positions 1 to 935 of the family's 1478-position model. The record is from RNAcentral.
AGUCUCUGGUUGAUCCUGCCGGACCCGACUGCUAUCAGAGUGGGACUAAGCCAUGCGAGUCAACGUAGCAAUGCGUGGCGAACGGCUCAGUAACACGUAGUCAACAUGCCCAGGGGACGUGGAUAACCUCGGGAAACUGAGAUUAAACCGCGAUAGGUCAAGAUUUCUGGAAUGGAUCUUGGCUUAAAUCUACAUGGCCCCUGGAUUGGACUGCGGCCGAUCAGGCUGUUGGUGAGGUAAUGGCCCACCAAACCUAUAACCGGUACGGGCUCUGAGAGGAGGAGCCCGGAGAUGGGCACUGAGACAAGGGCCCAGGCCCUAUGGGGCGCAGCAGGCGCGAAACCUCUGCAAUAGGCGAAAGCCUGACAGGGUUACUCUGAGUGAUUCCCGCUAAGGGGAUCUUUUGGCACCUCUAAAAAUGGUGCAGAAUAAGGGGUGGGCAAGUCUGGUGUCAGCCGCCGCGGUAAUACCAGCACCCCGAGUGGUCGGGACGAUUAUUGGGCCUAAAGCAUCCGUAGCCGGUUCUGCAAGUCUUCCGUUAAAUCCAGCCGCUCAACGGAUGGGCUGCGGAAGAUACUAUAGGACUAGGAGGCGGGAGAGGCAAGCGGUACUCAGUGGGUAGGGGUAAAAUCCUUUGAUCCAUUGAAGACCACCAGUGGCGAAGGCGGCUUGCCAGAACGCGCUCGACGGUGAGGGAUGAAAGCUGGGGGAGCAAACCGGAUUAGAUACCCGGGUAGUCCCAGCUGUAAACGAUGCAGACUCGGUGAUGGGCCAGCCUUGUGCUAGCCCAGUGCCGCAGGGAAGCCGUUAAGUCUGCCGCCUGGGGAGUACGGUCGCAAGACUGAAACUUAAAGGAAUUGGCGGGGGAGCACCACAAGGGGUGAAGCCUGCGGGUCAAUUGGAUUCAACGCCGGGGACCUGCAGGCA